AUUGAACGCUGGCGGCAUGCUUUACACAUGCAAGUCGAACGGCAGCGCGGGCUUCGGCCUGGCGGCGAGUGGCGAACGGGUGAGUAAUACAUCGGAACGUGCCCAGUAGUGGGGGAUAGCUCGGCGAAAGCCGGAUUAAUACCGCAUACGACCUGAGGGUGAAAGCGGGGGAUCUUCGGACCUCGCGCUAUUGGAGCGGCCGAUGGCAGAUUAGCUAGUGGGUGGGGUAAAGGCCUACCAAGGCGACGAUCUGUAGCUGGUCUGAGAGGACGACCAGCCACACUGGGACUGAGACACGGCCCAGACUCCUACGGGAGGCAGCAGUGGGGAAUUUUGGACAAUGGGCGAAAGCCUGAUCCAGCAAUGCCGCGUGUGUGAUGAAGGCCUUCGGGUUGUAAAGCACUUUUGGCGGGAACGAAAAGGACUGUGCCAAUACCACGGUUCGAUGACGGUACCCGCAGAAUAAGCACCGGCUAACUACGUG
This 484-nucleotide ribosomal RNA is filed under the name uncultured bacterium. RNAcentral's name for it is "partial 16S ribosomal RNA". It matches the Rfam family "Bacterial small subunit ribosomal RNA", at positions 29 to 507 of the family's 1533-position model. The record is from RNAcentral.